UUUGUCGCGUUGUUCGUGAAAUCUCACGGCUUAACUGUGAGCGUGCGGGCGAUACGGGCAGACUUGAGUACUGCAGGGGAGACUGGAAUUCCUGGUGUAGCGGUGGAAUGCGCAGAUAUCAGGAGGAACACCGGUGGCGAAGGCGGGUCUCUGGGCAGUAACUGACGCUGAGGAGCGAAAGCGUGGGGAGCGAACAGGAUUAGAUACCCUGGUAGUCCACGCCGUAAACGGUGGGUACUAGGUGUGGGUUUCCUUCCUUGGGAUCCGUGCCGUAGCUAACGCAUUAAGUACCCCGCCUGGGGAGUACGGCCGCAAGGCUAAAACUCAAAGAAAUUGACGGGGGCCCGCACAAGCGGCGGAGCAUGUGGAUUAAUUCGAUGCAACGCGAAGAACCUUACCUGGGUUUGACAUGCACAGGACGCCGGCAGAGAUGUCGGUUCCCUUGUGGCCUGUGUGCAGGUGGUGCAUGGCUGUCGUCAGCUCGUGUCGUGAGAUGUUGGGUUAAGUCCCGCAACGAGCGCAACCCUUGUCUCAUGUUGCCAGCGGGUAAUGCCGGGGACUCGUGAGAGACUGCCGGGGUCAACUCGGAGGAAGGUGGGGAUGACGUCAAGUCAUCAUGCCCCUUAUGUCCAGGGCUUCACACAUGCUACAAUGGCCGGUACAAAGGGCUGCGAUGCCGCGAGGUUAAGCGAAUCCUUUUAAAGCCGGUCUCAGUUCGGAUCGGGGUCUGCAACUCGACCCCGUGAAGUCGGAGU
This 755-nucleotide ribosomal RNA is filed under the name uncultured bacterium. RNAcentral describes it as "bacterial SSU rRNA". It matches the Rfam family "Bacterial small subunit ribosomal RNA", at positions 579 to 1332 of the family's 1533-position model. The record is from RNAcentral.